Molecule: ribosomal RNA, 397 nt
Filed under: uncultured bacterium
Lineage: Bacteria
Description: partial 16S ribosomal RNA
Rfam family: Bacterial small subunit ribosomal RNA
Source: RNAcentral
AUACGUAGGGGGCGAGCGUUGUCCGGAAUGAUUGGGCGUAAAGGGCGCGUAGGCGGCCCGGUAAGUCUGGAGUGAAAGUCCUGUUUUUAAGAUGGGACUUGCUUUGGAUACUGUCGGGCUUGAGUGCAGGAGAGGUAAGUGGAAUUCCCAGUGUAGCGGUGAAAUGCGUAGAGAUUGGGAGGAACACCAGUGGCGAAGGCGACUUACUGGACUGUAACUGACGCUGAGGCGCGAAAGUGUGGGGAGCAAACAGGAUUAGAUACCCUGGUAGUCCACACUGUAAACGAUGAAUGCUAGGUGUAGGGGGUAUCGACCCCUUCUGUGCCGCAGUCAACACAAUAAGCAUUCCGCCUGGGGAGUACGGCCGCAAGGUUGAAACUUAAAGGAAUUGACGGGG